GUGCUACCUUUGGCAGCACAUAUACUAAAAUUGGAGCGAUACAGAGAUUAAUUAGCAUGGCCCCUGUGCAAGGAUGACAUACAAAUUUCUGAAGCAUUUUAUAUUUUU
Acomys russatus (golden spiny mouse) is the source of this 108-nucleotide small nuclear RNA. The record is from RefSeq and is a predicted model, not a curated record. NCBI's taxonomy places the organism in Eukaryota, Metazoa, Chordata, Mammalia, Rodentia, Muridae.